RNAcentral lists this ribosomal RNA (1100 nucleotides) under uncultured bacterium. Its description in RNAcentral is "bacterial SSU rRNA". It matches the Rfam family "Bacterial small subunit ribosomal RNA", at positions 8 to 1096 of the family's 1533-position model. The record is from RNAcentral.
AGAGUUUGAUCCUGGCUCAGAUUGAACGUUUGCGGCAUGCCUUACACAUGCAAGUCGAACGGCAGCACGGGAGCUUGCUCCUGGUGGCGAGUGGCGAACGGGUGAGUAAUAUAUCGGAACGUACCCUAGAGUGGGGGAUAACGCAACGAAAGUUGCGCUAAUACCGCAUACGAUCUACGGAUGAAAGUGGGGGAUCGCAAGACCUCAUGCUCAUGGAGCGGCCGAUAUCUGAUUAGCUAGUUGGUGGGGUAAAGGCCUACCAAGGCAUCGAUCAGUAGCUGGUCUGAGAGGACGACCAGCCACACUGGAACUGAGACACGGUCCAGACUCCUACGGGAGGCAGCAGUGGGGAAUUUUGGACAAUGGGGGCAACCCUGAUCCAGCAAUGCCGCGUGAGUGAAGAAGGCCUUCGGGUUGUAAAGCUCUUUUGUCAGGGAAGAAACGGUGAGGGCUAAUAUCCUUUGCUAAUGACGGUACCUGAAGAAUAAGCACCGGCUAACUACGUGCCAGCAGCCGCGGUAAUACGUAGGGUGCAAGCGUUAAUCGGAAUUACUGGGCGUAAAGCGUGCGCAGGCGGUUAUGUAAGUCAGAUGUGAAAUCCCCGGGCUCAACCUGGGAAUGGCAUUUGAGACUGCAUGGCUAGAGUGUGUCAGAGGGGGGUAGAAUUCCACGUGUAGCAGUGAGAUGCGUAGAGAUGUGGAGGAAUACCGAUGGCGAAGGCAGCCCCCUGGGAUAACACUGACGCUCAUGCACGAAAGCGUGGGGAGCAAACAGAAUUAGAUACCCUGGUAGUCCACGCCCUAAACGACCUCAAAGAGUUGUUGGUGGAGUAAAAUCCAGGAGUAACGCAGUAAACGCGGGAAGUAGACCGCCUGGGGAGUACGGUCGCAAGAUUAAAACUCAAAGGAAUGGACGGGGGGCCCGCACAAGCGGUGGAUUAUGUGGAUUAAUUCGAUGCAACGCGAAAAACCUUACCUGGCCUUGACAUGCCACUAACGAAGCAGAGAUGCAUUAGGUGCCCGAAAGGGAAAGUGGACACAGGUGCUGCAUGGCUGUCGUCAGCUCGUGUCGUGAGAUGUUGGGUUAAGUCCCGCAACGAG